AUACGGAGGAUCCGAGCGUUAUCCGGAUUUAUUGGGUUUAAAGGGUGCGCAGGCGGCCAUUUAAGUCAGCGGUUAAAUCGUGGGGCUCAACCCCAUUCUGCCGUUGAUACUGGGUGGCUUGAUUGCGGUCGAGGUUGGCGGAAUUCGUUGUGUAGCGGUGAAAUGCAUAGAUAUGACGAAGAACACCGAUUGCGUAGGCAGCUGACCAGACCGCAAAUGACGCUCAUGCACGAAAGUGCGGGGAUCUAACAGGAUUAGAUACCCUGGUAGUCCGCACAGUAAACGAUGAAUACUUGUUUUCGGCGAUAUAAUGUCGGAGGCAAAGCGAAAGCGAUAAGUAUUCCACCUGGGGAGUACGCCGGCAACGGUGAAACUCAAAUGAAUUGGCGGGG
RNAcentral lists this ribosomal RNA (392 nucleotides) under uncultured bacterium. RNAcentral describes it as "partial 16S ribosomal RNA". It matches the Rfam family "Bacterial small subunit ribosomal RNA", at positions 523 to 918 of the family's 1533-position model. The record is from RNAcentral.